This 813-nucleotide non-coding RNA is filed under the name Pongo abelii (Sumatran orangutan). Lineage: Eukaryota; Metazoa; Chordata; Mammalia; Primates; Hominidae. The record is from RNAcentral.
GACAAGCCCGUGGAUGUCUACAAAGAGUGAACUGAUCACUGUGGGCUGGCCUUUGAGGCAUCAGCAAGCUCCAGUGCCUGGGACGAUGCCUGACACUUAGCAGACAGUCAGUGAAUAUGUGUUAUAUAAAUGAAUGAAUACUUGGAGCGUGAGAAUCAGAGCGGCAAAAAUAUUUGUCCAUAAUAUGCCUAAAGAUAAAAAUGGAAGCCUCCGAACUAGAUAAAUGCAUUGUAAUUGAAUGCUGAAUUCACCAGAUAACAUCUGAGAUUUAUUAAGCAUCAAGUCAUGUCUUAAAAAUUUUAUAUACAUUUUAGGAUUUAACUCUUAUAAAAAUCCUGUGGGCGUUGUGGCUCUGGAGACCUGGAAGCACCACUAACUGUUCUCCUGAUUUUCUGAUGCUCAGCCACAUCAACCUGUCAUGCUAGUUGUGAGGAGAAGUCAAGGACAGUGACACAGCCAGCCAGUCUGAGGGGUUUUCCAUCAUCCUGAAGGAGUUGCCCUAUCCUGCUUUUCACUGGAGGGGGCAUGGAUGGGGACCCUGGAUGACAAAGCAGUCACCUACUUGAACACUACUAAUUAUGAUGUCAGAAAGAGGAAAGUUUGCAGAGUUUUGUAUUGGCAAUCAAACAUUCAGCCACAGGUCACAGUCUAGAACCAGACACAUCAGUGUCCUGAACUGCAAAGUAGCCAGGAAGCAGCAUCCCAUAACACAGUCCUAUGUCCACUGCUUUGGAGAAGUACCAAUGUGAUUGAAGCAAGGGAAAUUGCUAUGGGAUAUCUGGCCAACUGGAUAUUCUGCUGGAAGAGCAGAAU